AUUGAACGCUGGCGGCAGGCUUAACACAUGCAAGUCGAGCGGGGUGAUGGUGCUUGCACUAUCACUUAGCGGCGGACGGGUGAGAAAUGCUUAGGAAUCUGCCUAUUAGUGGGGGACAACAUCUCGAAAGGGAUGCUAAUACCGCAUACGUCCUACGGGAGAAAGCAGGGGAUCACUUGUGACCUUGCGCUAAUAGAUGAGCCUAAGUCGGAUUAGCUAGUUGGGGGGGUAAAGGCCUACCAAGGCGACGAUCUGUAGCGGGUCUGAGAGGAUGAUCCGCCACACUGGGACUGAGACACGGCCCAGACUCCUACGGGAGGCAGCAGUGGGGAAUAUUGGACAAUGGGGGGAACCCUGAUCCAGCCAUGCCGCGUGUGUGAAGAAGGCCUUAUGGUUGUAAAGCACUUUAAGCGAGGAGGAGGCUCUUUUGGUUAAUACCCAAGAUGAGUGGACGUUACUCGCAGAAUAAGCACCGGCUAACUCUGUGCCAGCAGCCGCCGUAA
This 503-nucleotide ribosomal RNA is filed under the name uncultured bacterium. Its description in RNAcentral is "partial 16S ribosomal RNA". It matches the Rfam family "Bacterial small subunit ribosomal RNA", at positions 30 to 523 of the family's 1533-position model. The record is from RNAcentral.